UUGCUUCGGCAGUAGAUAUACUAAAAUUGGAACGAUACAGAGGAAAUUAGCAUGGCCCCUGCCCAAGGAUGACACGCAAAUGGCGGCACGGUAGCUCAGCGGGUUU
Schistocerca gregaria is the source of this 106-nucleotide small nuclear RNA. The record is from RefSeq and is a predicted model, not a curated record. Lineage: Eukaryota; Metazoa; Arthropoda; Insecta; Orthoptera; Acrididae.